AAAAACUAACACUGUAUGGAGUUGGAACGUUUGCCUAUGUUUGUCGCUAAGGACGCUGUUCCAACUGCAUACAAAUUUGAUUUA
Non-coding RNA from Bombyx mori (domestic silkworm), 84 nucleotides. The record is from Rfam. NCBI's taxonomy places the organism in Eukaryota, Metazoa, Arthropoda, Insecta, Lepidoptera, Bombycidae.